UACGUAGGGCGCAAGCGUUGUCCGGAAUCAUUGGGCGUAAAGAGCUCGUAGGUGGUCUGUUACGUCUGCUGUGAAAUCCUAGGGCUUAACCCUGGGCCUGCAGUGGAUACGGGCAGACUAGAGGUAGGCAGGGGAGAAUGGAAUUCCCGGUGUAGCGGUGAAAUGCGCAGAUAUCGGGAGGAACACCGGUGGCGAAGGCGGUUCUCUGGGCCUUACCUGACACUGAGGAGCGAAAGCGUGGGGAGCGAACAGG
RNAcentral lists this ribosomal RNA (253 nucleotides) under uncultured bacterium. RNAcentral describes it as "partial 16S ribosomal RNA". It matches the Rfam family "Bacterial small subunit ribosomal RNA", at positions 524 to 776 of the family's 1533-position model. The record is from RNAcentral.